Molecule: long non-coding RNA, 345 nt
Filed under: Ananas comosus (pineapple)
Lineage: Eukaryota; Viridiplantae; Streptophyta; Magnoliopsida; Poales; Bromeliaceae
Description: long non-coding RNA (ACOM_LNC011512)
Source: RNAcentral
GGUAAAAUACAGAUAAGUUGAAUUUGACUACCCAACAUUUUAAAAUUCUAUUUUUACUUAUCCUACUUUUCAAGUUGUUUAAUUUGAGUUAGUCAAUUGAACUUUCGACUCUAAAAUUUAAAUUAAUUAUUUAUUUUAAUAAACUAACAGUUAUAAAAAUUAUAUAAAAUAAACUAAUUAAACUAGUAAAGAUAAACGACGCAUUCAUAUUUUAAAGUUAAAGUAUCGUUGACUGAUUGAAAUCAAAUAAAUAAAAAAUUAGAUAAUAAGUUAAAAUAUAUUAAAUAGUUAGAUUUAAAUAAUUUAUAAUUGUGAUAAUUAAGUUUCAUAGAUUUUUACCUAAAA